ACGAACGCUGGCGGCGUGCUUAACACAUGCAAGUCGAACGGGGUCAUUUGGAAGUAGCAAUACGGAAGGAUGACUUAGUGGCGGACGGGUGAGUAACACGUAGGUAACCUGCCCUUAAGAGGGGGGCAACUCAGGGAAACUUGAGCUAAUACCCCAUAAGACCACGAACUGGGAUGUUUGAGGUAAAAGGAGCAAUCCGCUUAAGGAGGGACCUGCGGCCUAUCAGGUAGUUGGUGAGGUAACGGCCCACCAAGCCAAAGACGGGUAGCCGGACUGAGAGGUUGAACGGCCACACUGGAACUGAGACACGGUCCAGACUCCUACGGGAGGCAGCAGUGGGGAAUUUUGCACAAUGGGGGAAACCCUGAUGCAGCGACGCCGCGUGGAGGAUGAAGGCCUUCGGGUUGUAAACUCCUUUUCUCAGGAACGAUGAUGACGGUACCUGAGGAAUAAGCCACGGCUAACUCUGU
RNAcentral lists this ribosomal RNA (470 nucleotides) under uncultured bacterium. Its description in RNAcentral is "bacterial SSU rRNA". It matches the Rfam family "Bacterial small subunit ribosomal RNA", at positions 29 to 506 of the family's 1533-position model. The record is from RNAcentral.